GAUGAACGCUGGCGGCGUGCUUGAUACAUGCAAGUCGAACGGAGAGUGUAGCAAUAUACUCUUAGUGGCGAACGGGUGAGUAACGCGUUGGUGACCUGCCCCGAAGCGAGGGAUAACAGUUCGAAAGAACUGCUAAUACCUCAUGUGAUCACCGGUUUUAGAAUCUGGUGAUUAAAGGUGAAAAUCACUUCGGGAGGGCCUGCGUCCCAUCAGCUAGUUGGUAGGGUAAUGGCUUACCAAGGCGAUGACGGGUAGGGGACCUGAGAGGGUGGCCCCCCACAAUGGAACUGAAACACGGUCCAUACACCUACGGGUGGCAGCAGUAGGGAAUAUUGCAAAUGGGCGAAAGCCUGAUGUAGCAACGCCGCGUGUGCGAUGAAGGUCUUCGGAUUGUAAAGCACUUUUUGGAGGGAUGAGGAAGGACAGUACCUCCAGAAUAAGCCUCGGCUAACUACGUGCCAGCAGCCGCGGUAAACUGUAGUCGGU
Molecule: ribosomal RNA, 486 nt
Filed under: uncultured bacterium
Lineage: Bacteria
Description: bacterial SSU rRNA
Rfam family: Bacterial small subunit ribosomal RNA
Source: RNAcentral